Calidris pugnax (ruff) is the source of this 312-nucleotide long non-coding RNA. RefSeq lists it as uncharacterized. The record is from RefSeq and is a predicted model, not a curated record. The transcript is spliced from 3 exons. NCBI's taxonomy places the organism in Eukaryota, Metazoa, Chordata, Aves, Charadriiformes, Scolopacidae.
GCCCGAAGGCUCGGCCAAGGUGCUACCUGCUUCGUGGAGCAACCCAGAGGUCUCGCUCUCCUCCUCCCCCAGCAUGGGGAACAUCCGAAGCUGCUGCAUCUCCUGGGCCAGGAGGAUCUUCUGCUGUAGAAGCGUGGAUGAAGGCAAAGCCUACGAUCUCACUCACGUGGAGGUGGGAGCAGUGACUAGACAAGACAGACAGCCCAGCUCCAGAGGUGAGUUCAUUCCCUCCUGAGUGGAGGGGUCUUUCUUGACUACUUUUUGGCCUCCUGGAGGAGAGGGGAUCUGUUUCAGCGCUGCUAACGUUGCUUA